ACGAUCGACACCUACGGGAGGAGCAGUGAGGAAUAUUGGUCAAUGGGCGCUAGCCUGAACCAGCCAAGUAGCGUGAAGGAUGAAGGCUCUAUGGGUCGUAAACUUCUUUUAUAUAAGAAUAAAGUGCAGUAUGUAUACUGUUUUGUAUGUAUUAUAUGAAUAAGGAUCGGCUAACUCCGUGCUAGCAGCCGCGGUAAUCUGAGCGGGCUGGCAAGGC
RNAcentral lists this ribosomal RNA (217 nucleotides) under uncultured bacterium. RNAcentral's name for it is "partial 16S ribosomal RNA". It matches the Rfam family "Bacterial small subunit ribosomal RNA", at positions 326 to 539 of the family's 1533-position model. The record is from RNAcentral.